This 233-nucleotide ribosomal RNA is filed under the name uncultured soil bacterium. RNAcentral describes it as "partial 16S ribosomal RNA". It matches the Rfam family "Bacterial small subunit ribosomal RNA", at positions 26 to 257 of the family's 1533-position model. The record is from RNAcentral.
AGACUGAACGCUGGCGGCAUGCCUAACACAUGCAAGUCGAACGGCAGCGCGGGGAGCAAUCCCUGGCGGCGAGUGGCGGACGGGUGAGGAAUACGAUCGGAAUCUACCCUGUCGUGGGGGAUAACCAAGCGAAAGCUUGGCUAAUACCGCAUACGACCGUGAGGUGAAAGCGGAGGACCUUCGGGCUUCGCGCGAUUGGAUGAGCCGAUGUCGGAUUAGCUAGGUUGGCGGGG